AGAAGAUUGGCUGAGUGGUUUAAAGCGGCUGUUUUGAAUGCAGUUAAGGUUAAAAACUUCAAGGGUUCGAAUCUCUUAUCUUCUG
This 85-nucleotide transfer RNA is filed under the name Ceratocystiopsis collifera. RNAcentral describes it as "tRNA-Ser". It matches the Rfam family "tRNA". Rfam says of the family: Transfer RNA (tRNA) molecules are approximately 80 nucleotides in length. Their secondary structure includes four short double-helical elements and three loops (D, anti-codon, and T loops). Further hydrogen bonds mediate the characteristic L-shaped molecular structure. tRNAs have two regions of fundamental functional importance: the anti-codon, which is responsible for specific mRNA codon recognition, and the 3' end, to which the tRNAs corresponding amino acid is attached (by aminoacyl-tRNA synthetases). tRNAs cope with the degeneracy of the genetic code in two manners: having more than one tRNA (with a specific anti-codon) for a particular amino acid; and 'wobble' base-pairing, i.e. permitting non-standard base-pairing at the 3rd anti-codon position. The record is from RNAcentral. Lineage: Eukaryota; Fungi; Ascomycota; Sordariomycetes; Ophiostomatales; Ophiostomataceae. RNAcentral also lists the same sequence under 7 other names.